GAUUCCAAGGCAAAAUCUGGAGGGGUAAAAUUGGAAUGUAAUUUUCGGAUUUAAUAAUUAAAAAAAUAUAUAUUUUUUUUAGAUUUUCUCAAAAUAGAUAUAUUUUAGAUGCAUAUAGUUUCACACAAAGAUGCAUAAAGUUUUCACAUGAAAUGCAUAACUUUGAACAGAAAAAUGCAUUUAAUUUUUCCAAUUUUGGUAUUUUCACCACCCCACCCCAUACCACCCCCCAAUCCAGCC
RNAcentral lists this long non-coding RNA (240 nucleotides) under Salvia miltiorrhiza (redroot sage). RNAcentral's name for it is "long non-coding RNA (SMIL_LNC002925)". The record is from RNAcentral. Lineage: Eukaryota; Viridiplantae; Streptophyta; Magnoliopsida; Lamiales; Lamiaceae.